RNAcentral lists this unclassified non-coding RNA (430 nucleotides) under soil metagenome. RNAcentral's name for it is "partial contains 5.8S ribosomal RNA, internal transcribed spacer 2, and large subunit ribosomal RNA". The stretch from base 1 to 120 matches the Rfam family "5.8S ribosomal RNA", at positions 35 to 154 of the family's 154-position model. The record is from RNAcentral.
GAUGAAGAACGCAGCGAAAUGCGAUACGUAAUGGGAAUUGCAGAAUUCAGUGAAUCAUCGAAUCUUUGAACGCAUAUUGCGCUCUCUGGUAUUCCGGAGAGCAUGCUUGUUUGAGUAUCAGUAAACACCUCAACUCCCUUUUCUUUUUUGAAAUUGGAGCUGGACUUGAGUGAUCCCAACGCUUUCUUCCAAGAAAGUGGCGGGUUGCUUGAAAUGCAGGUGCAGCUGAACUUUUCUCUGAGCUAUAAGCAUAUCUAUUUAGUCUGCCUAAAAAACAGAUUAUUACCUUUGCUGCAGCUAACAUAAAGGAGACUAGUUCUUGUGCUGACUGAUGCAGGAUUCACAGAGACAGCUUCGGCUGACUUUGUAAACUCGAUCUCAAAUCAAGUAAGACUACCCGCUGAACUUAAGCAUAUCAAUAAGCGGAGGA